CCUACGGGAGGCAGCAGUGAGGAAUAUUGGUCAAUGGACGAGAGUCUGAACCAUCCAAGUAGCGUGAAGGAUGACUGCCCUAUGGGUUGUAAACUUCUUUUAUAAAUGAAUAAAACGAGGCACUUGUGCCUUUUUGCAUGUACUUUAUGAAUAAGGAUCGGCUAACUCCGUGCCAGCAGCCGCGGUACUAAGGAGGAUACGAACGUUAUCCGGAUUUAUUGGGUUUAAAGGGUGCGCAGGCGGAGGCAAAAGUCAGCGGUAAAAUCGCGUGGCGCAAGCCCGCUCCGCCGUUGAAACGGUGUCCCUUGAGUGCGCGAAGGGUAGGCGGAAGGCGUGGUGUAGCGGUGAAAUGCAUAGCUAUCACGAAGAACCCCGAUUGCGAAGGCAGCUUACUAAACUGUGACUGACAUUGAUGCUCGAAAGUGUGGGGAUCAAACAGGAUUAGAUACCCCUGUAGGC
This 459-nucleotide ribosomal RNA is filed under the name uncultured bacterium. RNAcentral describes it as "partial 16S ribosomal RNA". It matches the Rfam family "Bacterial small subunit ribosomal RNA", at positions 338 to 795 of the family's 1533-position model. The record is from RNAcentral.